RNAcentral lists this transfer RNA (57 nucleotides) under Mastigeulota kiangsinensis. RNAcentral's name for it is "tRNA-Asn". Lineage: Eukaryota; Metazoa; Mollusca; Gastropoda; Stylommatophora; Camaenidae. The record is from RNAcentral.
GUAGAUAUAGCUUAUGUAAAGCACCCAACUGUUAAUUGGGAGAAAAAUCUUUCUGCG